UACGGAGGGUGCAAGCGUUAUCCGGAUUCACUGGGUUUAAAGGGUGCGUAGGUGGGUUGGUAAGUCAGUGGUGAAAUCCCCGAGCUUAACUCGGGAACUGCCAUUGAUACUAUUAAUCUUGAAUACCGUGGAGGUCAGCGGAAUAUGUCAUGUAGCGGUGAAAUGCUUAGAUAUGACAUAGAACACCAAUUGCGAAGGCAGCUGGCUACUCGAGUAUUGACACUGAGGCACGAAAGCGUGGGGAUCAAACAGG
Molecule: ribosomal RNA, 253 nt
Filed under: uncultured bacterium
Lineage: Bacteria
Description: partial 16S ribosomal RNA
Rfam family: Bacterial small subunit ribosomal RNA
Source: RNAcentral